UAUAAUCAAAUAAAAAUGAAAAGCCCCAUGAGUUUGUAAAAACCUUAUCAGCAAAUCAUUUUGGUGUGAAUUACCAACUAUAAAUCCCAAUUAUAUUUCUCCUUAUUGAUAUCUUUAAUUGGUAUUUUCAUGUGUUUAUUGGUUUUUCAAAAUCGAGUACCACUUUCUCACUUAAUUUUAUUUUCUUAAUUGAUUUAUAUAAUUGGUUUUCCACAUGUUUAUUAGUGUUCACGAUCCAUCACUUUCAUUGAUUUCUUUAAUUUAUUUUGGUGGUUUUUCAUAUAACAGGGGUAUUUGUUUAGUGGUGGUUUUCCCAUAACAAAUUAUUGUUUUUUUAAAAAAAUCAUUCUUGAGGUAUAUGUUUGUGUGGUGUAAAUUUGAUUCCAUUGAAGUGUGUUAUAUGCUGAAUUUAUAUGUGAAACAUUCCUUGCCAGUAGAAUCGUUGUUGGUUGAUAUUGUUGUAUCGAUCGGUAAGUUGUUUGGUUUUUCUUGGUGGUAAGUUGUUUCAGGAAUUGUUGAAACCAAAACUUAUGCAUCUUAAUUUUCAUCGUCAUCUUCCUCUUUCAUGUUUUCAAACUCUGUUUUGAACUCUACUAAUUGUCUUCUGUCUUGAGGUAUUCGUUUGUGUAGUCAUGCAGUGUGUCUUCUUUCUUUGAUUGGUGCAUGUGUUAUCUCUUUAAUAUAUACGGUUAAAUAACCUUCACGUAUAAUGAUAUCCCGACACUUUGAAUCUGGAAGUAUUUAUCUAAGAUUUUCCCAGUUAUAUGCAUUUCUAUCCGCAUCCGUUUUUUAUAUAUUUGAGAUGUAUGAAUGUGAAUUUAGUGAUUUGUCUAUUGUAUGCUUAAAUACAAUGUGGUUAUUAUGAAAUCUUAAAUAUGGUAUGAUAUGUUUUUCUGCCUCUAAGGAUCUAUAUAAGGACGUAUAUAAUAACGUGAGCCAGGAUUUGGCCAAUUCUUGGAACAGAGACCAACUCCUCCGUUUAAAUGAAGACCGUCGAGCGGACUUAGUCCUACAACCCAUGCUGAUGGGUGAAACCAAUUUAAUGCAAGGUGUUCGGUGAACAAGAGACAUGGUAGAUUGAAUGAUAAAAGGUGCAAGAAAAUUGGUGAUGACAAUCAUGUGCUGAAAGUCUCCAUUACUCGGGCUAGCUAAAAUGAACUAAGAAAGAUAGUGUAGAUAUGUUGUAUGUUGGGUUUAUAUAUGUCAAACAAAACUAAAGCAUUUGGAAAAUACUUCAAUUGAUGCUACAAGUAACAAGCCUACAACGUAUGCAGAAUAUUAUGAGCUUAAACAUGACUUGGUUUUGAAGAUUUAGCAUUCAGGUUCAAUAUAUUGUAUGGUUCAUUACGAAUUUAAGAUAGUGCUGAAUGAAACUUCGGUUAUGAUAUUGGUAUUUUGAGACCUAUGUAUAUUGUUAUCAAAUUCCAAUAAUCAACACUACAUAUAGCAUAAUUAUUUGUAAAUAUUGUUGUUAACAAAAGUUUUUAUAAUAAGUCCGGGUUGAUUA
Long non-coding RNA from Erigeron canadensis, 1507 nucleotides. RefSeq lists it as uncharacterized. NCBI's taxonomy places the organism in Eukaryota, Viridiplantae, Streptophyta, Magnoliopsida, Asterales, Asteraceae. The record is from RefSeq and is a predicted model, not a curated record. The transcript is spliced from 2 exons.